RNAcentral lists this transfer RNA (88 nucleotides) under Candidatus Erwinia haradaeae. RNAcentral describes it as "transfer RNA Serine". It matches the Rfam family "tRNA". Rfam says of the family: Transfer RNA (tRNA) molecules are approximately 80 nucleotides in length. Their secondary structure includes four short double-helical elements and three loops (D, anti-codon, and T loops). Further hydrogen bonds mediate the characteristic L-shaped molecular structure. tRNAs have two regions of fundamental functional importance: the anti-codon, which is responsible for specific mRNA codon recognition, and the 3' end, to which the tRNAs corresponding amino acid is attached (by aminoacyl-tRNA synthetases). tRNAs cope with the degeneracy of the genetic code in two manners: having more than one tRNA (with a specific anti-codon) for a particular amino acid; and 'wobble' base-pairing, i.e. permitting non-standard base-pairing at the 3rd anti-codon position. Lineage: Bacteria; Pseudomonadati; Pseudomonadota; Gammaproteobacteria; Enterobacterales; Erwiniaceae. The record is from RNAcentral.
GGAGGAGUGGCCGAGUGGCUGAAGGCACCGGUCUUGAAAACCGGCAACGGGAAACCGUUCCAGAGUUCGAAUCUCUGCUCCUCCACCA